This 298-nucleotide unclassified non-coding RNA is filed under the name fungal sp. Its description in RNAcentral is "partial internal transcribed spacer region". The stretch from base 1 to 46 matches the Rfam family "Eukaryotic small subunit ribosomal RNA", at positions 1786 to 1831 of the family's 1831-position model. Lineage: Eukaryota; Fungi. The record is from RNAcentral.
AAGUCGUAACAAGGUAACCGUAGGUGAACCUGCGGUUGGAUCAUUAAAAAAAAAUUGAAGCUUCAACCCUUUCAAGGGUAGAAGCGUCAGUGCUCCUCUAACAAGGAGCUUGACUACUCCAAUUUUGUGAACUUGCAACCAAAAAAUGUUUUGAUAGUGGUGAAAGAUUUGGGCAUUACCAGCCCAAGUUUUUCCCUUCUUGAAAAAAAUUGUUAACCCUGAAGAAAUAACUUGUCUUUACCGUUUUUUAUAAAUAAAAAUUAAUAAACAACUUUUGACAACGGAUCUCUAGGCUCUC